This 63-nucleotide transfer RNA is filed under the name Corynebacterium ulcerans. RNAcentral's name for it is "tRNA-Arg". The stretch from base 9 to 58 matches the Rfam family "tRNA", at positions 9 to 63 of the family's 71-position model. Rfam says of the family: Transfer RNA (tRNA) molecules are approximately 80 nucleotides in length. Their secondary structure includes four short double-helical elements and three loops (D, anti-codon, and T loops). RNAcentral also lists the same sequence under 1 other name. The record is from RNAcentral. Lineage: Bacteria; Bacillati; Actinomycetota; Actinomycetes; Mycobacteriales; Corynebacteriaceae.
AGGUAAAAGGCUAUUAGCAUCUGACUACGGAUCAGAAGGUUGGGGGUUCGAAUCCCUCCGGGC